AGUGAACGCUGGCGGUAGGCCUAACACAUGCAAGUCGAACGGCGGCACAGUAAGAGCUUGCUCUUACGGGUGGCGAGUGGCGGACGGGUGAGGAAUACAUCGGAAUCUACUUUUUCGUGGGGGAUAACGUAGGGAAACUUACGCUAAUACCGCAUACGACCUACGGGUGAAAGCAGGGGAUCUUCGGACCUUGCGCGAUUGAAUGAGCCGAUGUCGUAUUAGCUAGUUGGCGGGGUAAAGGCCCACCAAGGCGACGAUCCGUAGCUGGUCUGAGAGGAUGAUCAGCCACACUGGAACUGAGACACGGUCCAGACUCCUACGGGAGGCAGCAGUGGGGAAUAUUGGACAAUGGGCGCAAGCCUGAUCCAGCCAUACCGCGUGGGUGAAGAAGGCCUUCGGGUUGUAAAGCCCUUUUGUUGGGAAAGAAAAGCAGCAGGUUAAUACCCCGCUGUUCUGACGGUACCCAAAGAAUAAGCACCGGCUAACUUCGUG
RNAcentral lists this ribosomal RNA (492 nucleotides) under uncultured bacterium. RNAcentral describes it as "partial 16S ribosomal RNA". It matches the Rfam family "Bacterial small subunit ribosomal RNA", at positions 29 to 507 of the family's 1533-position model. The record is from RNAcentral.